UACGAAGGGGGCUAGCGUUGCUCGGAAUCACUGGGCGUAAAGCGCACGUAGGCGGCUUUCUAAGUCGGGGGUGAAAUCCUGGAGCUCAACUCCAGAACUGCCUUUGAUACUGGAGAGCUUGAGUCCGGGAGAGGUGAGUGGAACUCCGAGUGUAGAGGUGAAAUUCGUAGAUAUUCGGAAGAACACCAGUGGCGAAGGCGGCUCACUGGCCCGGUACUGACGCUGAGGUGCGAAAGCGUGGGGAGCAAACAGG
Molecule: ribosomal RNA, 253 nt
Filed under: uncultured bacterium
Lineage: Bacteria
Description: partial 16S ribosomal RNA
Rfam family: Bacterial small subunit ribosomal RNA
Source: RNAcentral